This 394-nucleotide ribosomal RNA is filed under the name uncultured bacterium. RNAcentral describes it as "partial 16S ribosomal RNA". It matches the Rfam family "Bacterial small subunit ribosomal RNA", at positions 523 to 918 of the family's 1533-position model. The record is from RNAcentral.
AUACGUAGGGAGCGAGCGUUGUCCGGAAUUACUGGGCGUAAAGGGCGCGUAGGCGGCGCUUCAAGUCGUCUGUCAAAUGGGAGGGCUUAACCCUUUUUCGCAGACGAAACUGGAGAGCUUGAGAAGCAGAGAGGCAAACAGAAUUCCUGGUGUAGCGGUGAAAUGCGUAGAUAUCAGGAAGAAUACCAGUGGCGAAGGCGGUUUGCUGGCUGCAUACUGACGCUGAAGCGCGAAAGCCAGGGGAGCAAACAGGAUUAGAUACCCCGGUAGUCCUGGCAGUAAACGAUGUAUGCUGGGUGUGAGACUAGCGAUAGUUUCGUGCCGAAGUUAACGCGAUAAGCAUACCGCCUGGGGAGUACGAUCGCAAGAUUGAAACUCAAAGGAAUUGGCGGGG